This is a long non-coding RNA of Mirounga angustirostris (Northern elephant seal), 1276 nucleotides long. RefSeq lists it as uncharacterized. The transcript has 3 exons. The record is from RefSeq and is a predicted model, not a curated record. Lineage: Eukaryota; Metazoa; Chordata; Mammalia; Carnivora; Phocidae.
CGCUAGGACGGGGCGGGGGGGAGCCCUCGGACGCGGCGCCUGCGCAAGCUGCUGCGCCGGCUGAGCCGUGGGCGAUUAGGACCGCCUGCAGGGCGCGGACACUGCGCAUGCUUCACACAGCCGGUCCUCCCUGGAGUUCCCAGCGCGUCUGGCUUUCCGUGGAUGUUGCGGCCCGCCCGGGACGGGACAGGAAGGGAAAACACUGGACGAGCGGAGGAACGCAUCCUCGGUGAGGAUACAAGGAAAAGUCAGCAGUAUGCAAAUGAGAAGACAGCUCUCCCCAGAACCUGACCAUACUGGCACCCUGAUCCUCGACCUCCAGCCGCCAGAACUAGCUGGAACACAUAAUCCUAAAAUUUGUAUGGAACCAGAAAAGACCCUGAAUGGCCAAAGGAAUGUUGGAAAAGAAAACCAAAGCUGGUGGCAUCACAAUUCUGGACUUUAAGCUCUAUUACAAAGCUGUCAUCAUCAAGACAGUAUGGUACUGGCACAAAAACAGACACAUAGAUCAAUGGAACAGAAUAGAGAGCCCAGAAAUGGACCCUCAACUCUCUAGUCAACUAAUCUUCAACAAAGCAGGAAAGAAUAUCCAAUGGAAAAAAGACAGUCUCUUCAACAAAUGGUGUUGGGAAAAUUGUACAGCCAUAUGCAGAAGAAUGAAACUGGACCAUUUUCUUACACCAUACAUGAAAAUAAACUCAAAAUGGAUGGAAGACCUAAGUGGGAGAAAGGAAUCCAUCAAAAUCCUAGAGGAGAACACAGGCAGCAACCUCUUCGAGUUUGGCCACAGCAACUUCUUGCUAGACACGUCUCCAAAGGCAAGGGAAACAAAAGCAAAAAUGAACUAUUGGGUCCUCAUCAAGAUAAAAAGCUUUUGCACAGCAAAGGAAACAGUCAAUAAAACCAAAAGACAACCUACUAAAUGGGAGAAGAUAUUUGCAAAUGUCUUAUCAGAUAAAGGGCUCGCAUCCAACAUCUAUAAAGAACUACCUCUUUCUAACAAUAAAUGACAUUCACCAAUAGAUUUUGAAAGGGAUAGAUCAAUAAAAUUUGACUAAGUAUGUGUAAUAAUUAUCAAACUUUAGAACAUAUUUUAAUCAAAUUUUUACUAUUAAUAAUUGUAAGUAUAGAUACAACUUUCAAAUAAUUUUAAAUAAUAAAAGGCUUUCAAACAUAAAAAUAUGCUGCAUUAAAUAAAGUUCUGGGAAAGGAAAAUGGAGUGGAAAUGAGUUUCCAGUGGGAAAAAGGAAUGAUGUAAAAUCAGUCUUUUUUUUUU